AGCAGCCGCGGUAAUUCCAGCUCCAAUAGCGUAUAUUAAAGUUGUUGCAGUUAAAAAGCUCGUAGUUGAAUUUCGGGAUUAGUGCGCUGGUCAUGCCUUUGGUAUGUACUGGUGUUACUGGUUCCUACCUUCUGAAGAACCGUUAUGUCAUUUAUUUGGUGUGGCGGGGAAUCAGGACUGUUACUUUGAAAAAAUUAGAGUGUUUAAAGCAGGCUCGCGCUUGAAUACAUUAGCAUGGAAUAAUGAAAUAGGACGUUUGACCCUAUUUUGUUGGUUUCUAGGAUCGACGUAAUGAUUAAUAGGGAUAGUUGGGGGCAUUAGUAUUCAAUUGUCAGAGGUGAAAUUCUUGGAUUUAUUGAAGACUAACUACUGCGAAAGCAUUUGCCAAGGAUGUUUUCAUUAAUCAAGAACGAAAGUUAGGGGAUCGAAGACGAUCAGAUACCGUCGUAGUCUUAACCAUAAACUAUGCCGACUAGGGAUCGGAUGAUGUUAUUUUUAAUGACUCAUUCGGCGCCUUACG
RNAcentral lists this ribosomal RNA (520 nucleotides) under uncultured Glomeromycotina. RNAcentral's name for it is "SSU rRNA". It matches the Rfam family "Eukaryotic small subunit ribosomal RNA", at positions 569 to 1092 of the family's 1831-position model. Lineage: Eukaryota; Fungi; Glomeromycota. The record is from RNAcentral.